UACGAAGGGAGCUAGCGUUGUUCGGAAUCACUGGGCGUAAAGCGCACGUAGGCGGAUGUGUCAGUCAGGGGUGAAAUCCCGGAGCUCAACUUCGGAACUGCCUUUGAUACAGCACGUCUUGAGUCCGAUAGAGGUGGGUGGAAUUCCGGGUGUAGCGGUGGAAUGCGUAGAGAUCCGGAAGAACACCGGUGGCGAAGGCGGUCUGCUGGGCAGUUGCUGACACUGAGGCGCGACAGCGUGGGGAGCAAACAGG
Molecule: ribosomal RNA, 253 nt
Filed under: uncultured bacterium
Lineage: Bacteria
Description: partial 16S ribosomal RNA
Rfam family: Bacterial small subunit ribosomal RNA
Source: RNAcentral